Molecule: ribosomal RNA, 301 nt
Filed under: uncultured bacterium
Lineage: Bacteria
Description: partial 16S ribosomal RNA
Rfam family: Bacterial small subunit ribosomal RNA
Source: RNAcentral
CAGCAGCCGCGGUAAUACGUAGGGUGCGAGCGUUGUCCGGAAUUACUGGGCGUAAAGAGCUCGUAGGCGGUUUGUCGCGUCGUUCGUGAAAUCUUGGGGCUUAACUUCAAGCGUGCGGGCGAUACGGGCAGACUUGAGUACUACAGGGGAGACUGGAAUUCCUGGUGUAGCGGUGAAAUGCGCAGAUAUCAGGAGGAACACCGGUGGCGAAGGCGGGUCUCUGGGUAGUAACUGACGCUGAGGAGCGAAAGCGUGGGGAGCGAACAGGAUUAGAUACCCGGGUAGUCCCUGUCUCUUAUAC